Salmo salar (Atlantic salmon) is the source of this 54-nucleotide non-coding RNA. The record is from Rfam. Lineage: Eukaryota; Metazoa; Chordata; Actinopteri; Salmoniformes; Salmonidae.
UGAAUGCAUGACUGAAAGUCACUUUGGAUAAAAGUGUCUGCUAAAUUUCAUAUU